RNAcentral lists this ribosomal RNA (253 nucleotides) under uncultured bacterium. Its description in RNAcentral is "partial 16S ribosomal RNA". It matches the Rfam family "Bacterial small subunit ribosomal RNA", at positions 524 to 776 of the family's 1533-position model. The record is from RNAcentral.
UACGUAGGGUGCAAGCGUUGUCCGGAAUUAUUGGGCGUAAAGAGCUCGUAGGCGGUCUGUCGCGUCGGCUGUGAAAACUCGGGGCUCAACUCCGAGCUUGCAGUCGAUACGGGCAGGCUAGAGUUCGGCAGGGGAGACUGGAAUUCCUGGUGUAGCGGUGAAAUGCGUAGAUAUCUGGAGGAACACCGGUGGCGAAGGCGGCAUCCUGGACCGAGAUUGACGCUGAGGCGCGAAAGCCAGGGGAGCAAACGGG